GGAAAAGACGUAUGGUUUAAUCAAGUUCUUAGAACAUUUUUCAUUCCCCAAAAAUGUUAAGAACCACUCUACUAGAAGAUUUGAUGUUCAUUUUUCCCUCUUUAACUUUCUGUUUUUGAAAUGUAUUCAUUGUCAGUUGAAGACCCAGUUGAGAAUCAGACUGGAAGUGGAAGAUUCCAAGAAACCCGUUGAUGGAAGGAGCCUAGUCCUCUGUGUUACUGUUUGGAGGGAUGCUGCCCAAAUGCACUGGACUUUGCAUUAGCAAGAAAUACAUGUUUGUGUGAAGUCACUGAGAUGUCAGGGUUUUCAUGUUACCACAGGGCAUAGUCUAUUCUACCCUAACAUGGUGGUCAGUUACAGGAAUUUUAUUAUUGUUGUUGUUGUUGUUGUUGAAUUUGAAUAAGGGGCAAAAGAAAACUAAAAACAUAUAUACCCAAAGUUUAUGAUAAUGUACAUAGUGAUGAUGGGCUAUAGACAAAAAAGAAAGGUUUAUCAUGGGCAAGGUUUGGGGUUUUGUUGAAUGAAAUGUUCAAGAGCACCUGAGUAUGUGAUAAUUUGGGAGAAAGGGAAAUGUUCCUACUGAAUUUGAAUUAGACUCUUUAAUUGUUCUUUAAGUGUCAGAGGCCAAAUUAGAAUUUCUAUUUAAUUUUGACCGAUAGACUAAUAUUCUUUGCAAAUAAUCCCAUGCAUAGAAUGAACCAUGUAAGAUUCCAGCUUACCCAUAUUGAAGGUGUUUGUCUAUGUGUCUUCAAUGUAUUACUUUUGUGAUUAAGAAAAAAAAAUAGAUAUUUUCAAUGGCA
This 800-nucleotide long non-coding RNA is filed under the name Lynx pardinus (Iberian lynx). Lineage: Eukaryota; Metazoa; Chordata; Mammalia; Carnivora; Felidae. The record is from RNAcentral.